This 119-nucleotide ribosomal RNA is filed under the name Nocardiopsis synnemataformans. The record is from RNAcentral. Lineage: Bacteria; Bacillati; Actinomycetota; Actinomycetes; Streptosporangiales; Nocardiopsidaceae.
UCCGUGGUGGUUAUUGCUGGAGGGUCACACCCGGUCUCUUUCCGAACCCGGUCGUUAAGUCUCUUUGCGCUGAUGGUACUGCCCUGUGGUGGGGUGGGAGAGUAGGUCGCUGCCACGGU